GAAUGAAAGUGAUGAAUAUAAGGAAUAGUGAUGAUCAAUUAUUUUUCAAGUGAUCCAAAAACAUAUCCUUAUUUCGCUACGUUCUUUCUGAUUCAUUC
This is a small nucleolar RNA of Lycium barbarum (goji berry), 98 nucleotides long. RefSeq annotates it as small nucleolar RNA R32/R81/Z41. The transcript has a single exon. The record is from RefSeq and is a predicted model, not a curated record. Lineage: Eukaryota; Viridiplantae; Streptophyta; Magnoliopsida; Solanales; Solanaceae.